AACCCAAGAUCAGGAGAUGGCCUCAGACCUCACAAGGCACUGGAAGAGGUCAAAAAGCAAGGCCCUCCCUCAUUCCCUCUGGGGCCACAGGGUCCCCCAUCUCCGCUUCCCACUGCACAUCUGUGCUUCAUCUGGGAGACCUGAUACCCAUGCUUUUCCACACACCUGGCCUGCUCCUGAGUGUGCAGAGUGUCAGUUCCAGCCAGUUCCCCAGGCUAAUGGACAGGCCUCCGUUCCAAAUUCCCAGGAAAGAGAAUCACCAUUGGCCACAGCCACAAGACCA
Molecule: long non-coding RNA, 283 nt
Filed under: Homo sapiens (human)
Lineage: Eukaryota; Metazoa; Chordata; Mammalia; Primates; Hominidae
Description: HSALNT0001784
Source: RNAcentral